Molecule: long non-coding RNA, 1358 nt
Organism: Halichondria panicea
Lineage: Eukaryota; Metazoa; Porifera; Demospongiae; Suberitida; Halichondriidae
Exons: 5
Source: RefSeq, a predicted model, not a curated record
CCCCAUCCAUCCACUUCCCGUUGUACACACAGAUAAAAAGCUGUAGACAUUUCUGAGAGUAUUAUUACAUCUCUUUCCACAAAUCAUCAAUGGCUGUCCCAUGUUUCUGUACCAUGGAGUCAAUUGAAGACUACGUUGUGAUCAACCAGCAGGAGUCUACUACAACUGCUCCUAAUAGUAAAUUUACUGCCCUGUUUGUAUCCAAUGGUCAGAGCAACCUUGUCCUGAGGACUAAUGAUUGCUGCACUGAGUGUAACUGGAGGGACUUCCCCAAUCAUGAUGGAGAUGACCACUCUAACAGGGCACACAGCAUCUUUCUGAAUAUACAUGAGAAGAUUCAAGAGAAUCGAGCGGCUGUACCCCCUCCAGCACCUCGAGUUACUAAGCUUGAUCUCACAGGGUACAAAUACCAACUGGCAUCCACUUCUGAUGACACAUUCCACAGUUUCUACUUUCUAAGGAUACAUGCUGGAGACAAUUUCUACCUAUAUGUGAAAGUUGGUGUUACGAAGCAAGAGUAUACACCAGCUAAAUUGCUCAGACUCUCAAGCAAAAUAGACAGAGUCACAUGCGAUUAAACAACGCAUUAAACAACGCAUUAUUAAACUUAUUCAUUAUCUUAUUUUCUCAAUAGUGUAUUAAUUUGUGAUUAUGUAUGCUGUUUAAAUGAACCGACUUGCUAAGCACUUACAGCAAGGGAAAUUCCCCACAUGUAAUCCAGCCCUGCCCACCAAAUGAGCGAUGACUCGACAAAUAACUAGCUACAUAGUUGCAGUAAUGCAGUAAUGAGCACUCCAUGCUUGUGUUCCCUAGAGGCUACCCUAAAGGACUAUGUCGUCAUAAGUGACUCCAGGAGCCAGCACACUCCACCAGAAGACAUGGCUACCCCAAAGUCUCCAGGGAUGUUCAAACUAGCACUCAUGCACGUAUCCCACUUUGUCCUGAGGAGAGACGAUUGCUGCAUACAAGACGGAUGGACUGAUUAUCCCGAUGACAGCGAUCCAGAUCAUUCAAUACAUGCACACCACAUUUUUCUAGAGUUGCACGAGAAGAUUCAAGAGAACCGACGUACACUACAUCCACCUGUCACAACACUCGACCUCAAGGGGUACAAGUACACAAUGAGAUCUCAUGGGCAGUACACAGGAUAUUACUAUCUACGGAUACACGCUGGAGACAAUUUUUAUCUCUAUGUGAAAGUUGGUCUGACAAAUGAUAACUAUGCUCGUAUUAAACUGUUGAGACUAGCCAGUACUGAAGAAAAAGUCACUUCAAAGUAAUCACCAAUGUCACUUUUUGUUAAUUCUUUCACUAUUUUGUCAACCAGCAAAAAAUAAUACUAAUCACAUGAUAAUUAA